UUGACUUGUUGCUUGAUUUCAUUGAAAUAGAAGUCAUGAAUUGAGGAAAAUUAGUGUUAAAAGGGAAUUUGGGAGUGAAAAUUGAAAACUUGAUAUAAUUGGUGAAUUUUGGUUAGCUUGAUUCAUAGGUUGUUUGACUUGAAAUGAACAUUAAUUGAACUUGAUAGUAUCAUGAUACAUCGAUUGGUUUAGGCAAACAUAAGUUGGGUAGGCAAAGUUUAGAAUUUGUGGCUUUGGUUGAAUGUUGGAAAUUUUGUGGAAUGUUUGAAAUUUUGUUGAAUAGUUUGAUUUUCUCGCACUAAAAAUGUAUUCAUUUGACCGGGAAAUGCCUCGAGGGAUUUGUAUUGAUUUAUUCGGGGAAUGCCCCAAAGUAUCUUGUACUUGGAGGACGUUCGUGAUGAAGGCCCGAGGCAUCGGAUGAGGCAUUAGAGUUUAGUCUAGGAUUAGUUUAGAAUGGGAUUUACAUUUCCGUAUUUUUCUAUUUCAGGACUGUAUAACUUGGACUGGACACCAUAUUUUUAAUUCAUUUUGUUUUGUCUGUUUGUUUGAUUGUUUUACGUGUUUUUGUGUGGUUUGUACAUCGUAGUGCCAAAUUAGCCGAUUCACUCUACCAAGCGACCGUGGUCAAACCACGGGAUCGAGGGGUGCCUAACACCUUCCCCUCGGUCAAUAAAAUUUCUUAACCAAAAUCUUUGUUUGCAAACCAGUUUGAAGAGUCAAAUCAUUUUAAAAAGGAUUUUCCAAAGGUGACUUGGCACACCGGUUUAUGCCAAGUGACGACUCUGAGAUUAAAUAUACAUAAUCCUUUUUCGAAAGAAAUUUUCAUCUUUUGUCACUCAAUAAUAAAAACCCUUUAAAACGAAUCAUAAAAGGGGUGUGAUAGCUCUGGCGACUCCGCUGGGGAUUUUUCAGAAUUCAAGCUUAUUUUGGAGUUGUAUCGGCUUAGUUUGACACUAUAGGUGUAUGAGUAAGUGGAAAGCAAAGCAGCCACUAUCGACCAUACGCUCUCCCGAAAAGCCUUAUUAGUGAAUUCCAACGUAGGUCAACCUUUAGGUUCUGCUUAUGUGCAUCAUAUUGAAGACCUAGCAGGGCCCACUUGGCCCUUUGUAGGAGACUCGCCUCUAAAGCAUCCCUACGUGCUAAAUGUUGCAUCUUUGAAGGUAACGUGGUCAUUUGACAGACUGAUUUGGGCAAAAGCAUGAGUUAGAAGCAAGUGUGUAGGAAGGAAAUUGUUGAAAAAAGGAAGAAAAAAAAGUGUAAAAAAAAAAAGAUUUGGUAGUUUCUAGGGUUUUUUAUGGAUUUUGUUUUUCACAAUUCAAAAAUUAAAAAAAAAAAAGUCUUUUUUUUUACUUUUUGGACUCAUUUCCCAAAUAAUCAAAAACAUUAAAAAAAAAAUUCCUUUCAUUUCUUUAGUAAGCAUUCACAAUUCGAAAACUCCAAAAAAAAAAAAUCCUUUCAAUAGGAGCUUUGUACAUUUUUAUAUAACGAAAAUAUCAAAAAGAUUUUUUCUUUUAUAGUUGUUGGUGUUAGUUUCUAAUUAAAAACCCAAAAAAGAUUUUAUUUUCAUCGUCUGUCUUUAGUUGUGUCUCUCAAUUCGGGGUUUAGUUUGUCAUUUAAUCCUUAAUUGUCCAAUCUGGAUGAACCACGCACCCCUGAUUCUCCUCUUUCGGGAUGUGAGAUACGUAGGCAACCUAUUGUUGGUUCGGGGAUCUUAUUUCAAAAAAUUCAAAAAAUAUUUUCUUCACUCUUCAUUUAGAGUAGGUGUUUCAUAUACAUCUUUAAAAGAAAACUACAAAAAGAUUUUUCUUUAAUAGGUUCAAGUUUCAUUUUCACAUGAAAUUAAAAAAUCGAAAACCCAAAAAGAUUUUUCUUUGAUCAUAGGUUUCAUUUUGUAUAGGGAUGUUAAACCUGAAAAAUUCAAAAAGAUUUUUGUCAAUUAUUUUAACAAUUUGUUAUUUUCUUUUCUUCUUAAAGUUCAACAAAAAGAGUUUAAUUAGCCAUUUUGGCAAGACUUCACGAACUACGCACACCUGAUUCUCCUCUUUCGGGAUAUGAGAUACGUUAGCGCCCUUCUUGGGUUCGGUGACCUUUUCAAAAAGAAAAAAAAAGAGAUUUUGAGAAAGUGUUAAACUCUAACACAUUUGCUAUCUCUUGUUCAGUUAGUUUAAAGUGGUUGGUUUGUGGCAUUUUGGCUGGUCCUCCAUAUUGCACCAAGUCACAGAGAACGUUAUGGCCAUCAAGGAUACCGAGUUUAUUAUCACUAAUCAGAUAGGGAGUUCAGGAAAUGAGAAUUUAGGAUCUAAUGAAGAGAUUCAAAAAUUAAGACAACAAAUGAUAGAGAUGCAUCGAGCUUAGGCUAAUGGGUUGCCACCUCCCUCAGUUCCCACUAAUAAUCUGGAAUAUCUUUCUGGCUUGCCUCCCAUGUCACAUGCACAAUUUCUCAUUUUUGUUGAUAUGCCACAAUAUGCAUUAGGAUCGAUUUCGGGGCAACAAUAUCCAACCACUUCUAAUGUUCAUUUCCUCACUCCCCAAUCCAAGACUACCACAUACGCGGCUUCACCUGUUGUUCAUGCUUUUGCGUCGCCAUCCCCACCUAAAGCUCCUACUUUUGAUGUUUAUCCACGAGUUGCGCCUCCCUACUCUACAAGAGAUCCUACAUUGAAUAUUACUGGCGAUCAGCGUUACACUUUCAACCUACAUUCAAGUUAACUGUUGUUUAUGGUGACACUCACCCGCCUGAAUUUACUCCUAACACUGAGAAGCCUGUUAUGACAGAAGAACAAGAGGAAAUGACCAAGAAAUUGAGAAGUUUGGAACUGGAUAUGAAGAACUUGCAAGGACUUGGGGGUUACAAAAGUGUCUCAUAUAAGGACUUAUGCAUGUUUCCAGGUGUCAACCUUCUUUCUGGCUUUAAAAUGCCAAAGUUUGACAAGUAUGAUGGACAUGGGGACCCAGUGGCACAUUUGAGGCGCUAUUGUAACCAAUUAAGGGGUGAUGGAGAGAAGGAAGAACUACUCAUGGCUUAUUUCGAGGAGAGUCUUUCAGUCCUAGCUUCGGAAUAGUUUGUUGACCAAGACAUUGACAAAUGGAUUAGUUGGGAUGACCUAGCUAAUGGAUUUGUGCAACAAUUUCAAUACAAUGUGGAGUUGAUCCCUGACGAAAAAUCCCUAACUAGUAUAAAAAAGAAGAAUACUGACAGUUUCAAGGAGUAUGCGACCAGAUGGUUCGAACAAGCUGCUAGAGUAAAACCGUCAAUGAAAGAAAGCAAAAUAGUGGAGGUGUUUAUUCAAGCGCAGUAUGAAAUAUAUUAUCAACACUUGUUACUUGCAUUAGGCAAGCCAUUUAUUAAGGUCCUUAAAAUGGGGGAGAUGAUAGAAGAGGGAAUUAAGAUUGGUCACAUUGUGAGUUUUGCAAUAUUAAAAGCGACAACUCAAGCAAUUCAAAAGGGUUCAGGAAGUGUUGGGGAGACAAAGAAUGAGGAAGAUGCAUCUUCUGUUGUAGUUGGAUAGCGGGCACCGUCAAGAAGACCCCGUUGUCGUCAAUCUCAGGUUCAAACCCAAGUUCAUGCCCAAGCUCUACAUAAUCACUCCCAAAAUCCAUUAUACUUAGCUCCUCUACCUCCGUAUCCAGUAUAUAAUGCACAGCCACAUGUUCAACCCCCAUGUUACCCACAGUGAAACACACCAACUCCUCAGAGUCGUCCUCUAACUCCACAAACAUACCAAAACCCUUCUAAGCCUGAUUUUUGAUCCAAGUCAAAUGAUGAAAUGAGGCAGAAGUUGAGAGAUAACUUCACACUAAUUGGAGAGUUGUAUGCCAGUUUAUUUCAGAUAUUAGUACAAUGGGGCAUGAUCACUCCUCUCCUUGGGUGCACUCUUAAUCGAUAUUUAAGAAAUUUUGAUCCUAAUGUACAAUGUGCGUAUCAUUCUAAUGCUCAGGGUCAUAGUAUUGAAGAUUGUCGAGAUUUGAAAAGAGAAAUUGAAAAGAUGAUUCAAGAUGGAUCAAUUAUGGUGCAGAACAUUGACAGUGAGGAAAACUCUAGUCAUGCUGAUAUGCAAACCAGUGGCUAAGAUGUCAGGCUGAGCAAUUGAGAAGUCACCCCUCUCCAUACUAGGAAGAGGUCUGGUAGUUUGUUUUGUUUUAUUUUCUGUUAUCCGAAUUACCUCAAGGUUGUAGUUCGAGAUCUAGCUUGUUUUGUCCUUUUGUCGUUUAUGUUCAAACCCUUCUAUCUUUUAUUUCAACUAAAUGAAGUGUCUCAUUUUCCUUUGUGUUUUAAAUAUGUUUUUUUUUGUUUGUUUUCUUUCCACAGUACAUUUUAUGCUGACUCUAGUGAUAUGACAUGCUAGCGGAAUUAUCAGCCAGAUCUUCAAAUUCGAUUUAAGUAUGAAUAUUGAAUUAGAGGUUUGAGUUAGUUAAAGAGAACACUGAGGAAAUAGGUAGAGUGCUGAGAUAUUUGGUGACAAGUUGAAGCCUUCUUCGAAAAUUAAGGCAAUUAUUUUGCGAAUCACAAGAAUAACUUGGUCAUCAAUUGAAAGACAUGUCUCAAUUAGGUCAAAUAGUGUCUGCGUGAACAGAAUGAAAAUCGGCUCCACAAAAUCAUGAGUCAUUAAAGUAGAGUUGUAUGCUAGAAAAGCGCAGAAGAAGUAGUGACGCACAGACUCAAUCAAAGUUAAUGUUGUAAAAAAUGUCGCACAUGAUCUUCAUCUCCAACUUUAAAAUUGCAUGUUAUGUACUUGCAUUUUCAAAGAUUGAUAUGACGAAGGCAUUUCAUUUUGUUAUCCAAACAUUGUGUCAUCCUUUAUUUAUCCCAUUUGAGCCUUAGUUUUAUUUUCUUUCAUACACCUCUUUUGGAAUCAAUAUAGAGUCAACAAAGCUCAAAAGAAAAGGUGUCGAGCAAAACAGUAGAGUCAGAAAAGUUUCAAAAAAUAAAAGAGAAAAAGAAGUGUGUCGAGAAAAAUAAAGUCAGAAAAGUCCCAAAGAGAAAAAGAGUCAACAAAAGAAAAAAAAUAAGAGUCAAGCAAAAGAACAAGCAGCCAGAACUACGCGUGACCUGAUUCUCCUCUCGCGGGGGUGAGAUAUGUAGGCUGCCUUACUCUGGGCUCAAUCCAACCAAAUUAAAUUUAGAAUUACCCAGUCAAAAUAAACUGGGGUAUGAGUUAAUCCUCAUUGUUUGAGUCGAUUCCAAAAGUUGUAAGUCCUACCCCACUUUUAGUAUCGUUUGGGCCCCAUGCCAUCCUUUCUUUCUAACCCUAUCCAAAAGUCAAGUUACAACCAAAGAAAGACCUUCAGAUCAAUCUUUGAGGAUGUUAAGGAUAAGCAUGCAAGGGAUGUGACGAUGCAUUUGGGAACUACUUGUCUUCCUCAGCAUAAGAAAACAAAAGAGAAAUAAAAAUGAGAGUCUUAUUGGUGAAAACCCUCACGGGCACCUUAAGACGAUGGUAAGUUGAUAGAGAUAAAAAAUGAGAGAGUCUUAUUGGUGAAAACUCUCAUCAGCACCGUAAGACUAUUGUGAGUUGAGAGAAAUGAAGAUAAAAGAGUCUCAUUAGUGAAAACUCCUCACGAACGCCAUAGAAAGAUGGUGAGCUGAGAAAAAAAAAAUGAAUGAGGCUUAUAAUCAAAAACCCUUCAAGGCGCCACUAGUCGAAUGAGGUUUCCGAAUGCACUGGCCCCAAGGAAGUAACUCUAUUUCAAGGCUGUCAACUCAACAACAAUUGGUAGAAGUUUGGAUGGAAAGAUCAAGAAGCUUAAUCCAAAAUGCAUGACAUAAUUAUUAGAGUUGACUGUCUUUUCUAGAUAAAUUUUCAUUUCUUUGUUUCAAAUUGGGACAGUCAUUGUAUUUUCUUUUCUUGAGUUAGUUAACCAAAUAAAAAAGCAUUAUCAUUUUUUCUCUUGUCUUUGAGUCAAGUCCAUAUAAAAAAAUAAGUGAGAAAAGAUUUCAAAACUGGCUACCAGCUUCGUUAAUUGCACAAAGCAAGACAAUAGCCAGCACAUGAAAGAGACAUGAUUGUGAGCCAAAAAAGGACAUGCAGAAAGUUUUGUCAAUAGAUAAGUUUAGGAACCCAUGGAAAUACCAAGUCGCAAAGGGUUUAUCUGAGAAACAUGGCAAAGCAAAAAUACUGUAUUUGUUUCAGAGUCACUCUUAAUAACCUGAGUUUGGGUCAAUGAUGUAGCAAGUCAAUAAUGCAUGCUAACGGUUGGAAGCAAGGUUAAAUGUGAUGAUGGCAAGAACGUUUGCCACAAAAGCCAAAGCCACAAACCAUCCACCAUGUUCUUAAACUCACAACCUUUCUUUGCAUGAAACAGGAACACAUGUUACCUUCAAAUCAAGGAUUUCAAAGCCUAAAUAUCAAGGCCCGUAAUUUCUCACUUUUAAAAAUGCAGGAAGCAAUGUUGUUGCACAAGUUUGAUAAUUAAAUCAUGGUAAAAUUCAUCAUCUUAUAUCACUCGGAGACAUACUUUCUUGUCCAGGGAUUUCAGUUUUUAUUUUACUGGGUGAUACACUUCUUAAUUGAACCUUCACUUCUAGAAGACGUAUCUUUUAGUCGAGUCAUUCCCUUUGAUUCCUAUAAGACGUACCUUUUAGUCGAGUCAUUCCCUUUGAUUCCUAUAAGACGUACCUUUUAGUCAAGUCAUCUCCCUUGAUUCCUAAUAAGACGUACCUUUUAGUCAAGUCAUCACCUUUGAUUCCUAUAAGACGUACCUUUUAGUCGAGUCAUCUCCCUCGAUUCCUAGUAAGAUGCACCUUUUAGUUGAGUAAUUUUCUUUGAUUCCUAUAGGACGUACCUUUUAGUCGAGUCAUUCCCUUUGACCCCUAGAAGACGUACCUUUUAGUCGAGCUAUCUCCCUUGAUUACUUAAGACAUACAUUUUAGUCGAGUUAUUCCCUUUGAUUCCUAUAAGAGGAACCUUUUAGUCGAGUCAUUCCCUUUGAUUCCUAUAAAAUGUACCUUUUAGUCGAGUCACUCCCUUGAUUCUUAUAAGAUGUACCUUUUAGUCGAGUCAUUUUCCUUGACCCCUAGUAAGGCGUACCUUUUAGUCGAGUCAUUCCCUUGAUUCCUAGAAAGAUGUACCUUAUAAUCGAGUCAUUCUCCUUGAUUCCUAUAAUGAUGUGACUUUCGUAAAAGUCCUUUGAUGAUAAACUAGGACAAAAUUUAAUUCUUGUGUUGGAACUUCACUUUUUUGACAAAUAAAACCUCUUUAUAAUAAUCUUUGUUUGGGAUAAUUUUCUUUUUAGUUUUGAUGUGAUUUCAGGAGCCCGCCUGAAGAGCAAAGCGAAUAAAUGAAAAGUUAAGCAACAUGGUGAAGAAUUUAAAAGUUAACAGAUUGAUGAAAUAGCAAGUCAGGAGCCCACCUGAAGAACAGGAUGAUGAAAUUGCAAGUCAGGAGCCCGCCUGAAGAACAAGGUGAUAAAAUUGCAAGUCAAGAGCCCGCCUGAAGAACAGGGUGAUGAAAUGGAAAGUCAGAAUCCCGCCCGAAGCACAGAGCAAAUAAAUGGAAAGUUAAGCAACAAGGUGAAGCAAUUGAAGACGAAGCAACAAGUGAUAAAAUUGCAAGUCAGGAGCCCGCCUGAAGAAUAGGGUGAUGAAACUUAAGUCAGGAGUCUAACAGAAGCUGUAUAGAUAGGAUUUUGUAAUUUCAUUUAUGUUUUAUCUUUGUAAUUUUCAUUUUGAUGUAAUGACAGAGCCGCGGAACGAAACCUCUAUGGAACCUCACUCGACUCUCCAACUCGGUAUAGUCCAUUUCCUUACAAUCCUUUGAGAUACGUGUCAAUUGAUUUAUUCAUAACUUGGGUAGGUAGGAUGUCCUAAGUCAAGAUCCGGUUGCUCUUCUUCCUUCUGUUUCGUUCCUUAAAUAAUGGUCGGGUCAAAAUUUGGUCUCGUUGUCUACUUCUUUAUCUGAAAAUACUUCGUGUUUACAUUCAAAGGGGGCAUGAUGUAGACACCUAAUUUUGUCCCUCCCAAAGACCAAAGUUAUUCAUUUUUACCCCUAUCUUACUGUGUUCCCUCACCCGUGUGAUUAUGUUCCACAAAAAUAACAAAAAUUCAAUAAAUCCAUUCCCUAUCCUAACAAACAUUUUCCUAAAAAACUCAUCCACCUCACUACCCUACCCUACGCUACUCUACUACCCCACCCUACCGAACUACCCCCUUUACACAUUUUUUUCCACAAAGUAAAGGGAUUAGAAAAGGGGAGAACACAUAGAAACAGGGGAUGCUCCCAGAUUUCUCCAUUGGAGAACAGACAAUACGCACACACACACAAUACCAUACAUACAUACACUUUCACAGAAGAAGAUAAGCACACGACACACAGAUAUACACCUUUGAUGGGAGAGAAUGGGAGCGGUUUUGGAGUGAGAUUGAGAAAAGAAGAGAGGUCGAGAGAGGAGAAGAGUGACAGGGGUUAACUUCUCUAGCGAGGUUCUCUUCAGAAAGUGCCAUUAUCAUUGAAAUUUCUUCCAUCCUCCCUUUCCCCUCAUUGUCUAAGCUCUCCGGAGCUCCGGCGAGAUGAAAACUACACCUCAAUCCAAAGAUACUCCUUCCCCGACCCCAAAGCCACCAGAAAGCACCAUCCAUGAGCUACCAGUAGCCUCGUCACUUCUCAGUUAAGAAACUGACUCAAAAUUAUGGUCGACGUUCGGAGUUGUGGUCGGAUUUAAUUUCGGUUUUGCUCGAAUUUCUCAUUUGUUCUAAGUUUCCAAUCAGCUUUUGGGGAAUUAUAUAAAAAUUGGGGUUCGAGACUUGGAGGUUGAUAUCUGAGGUCGGGUUGUUACCGAGGUUUCGGAUCGAGGUUCUUGGGCACGCAGAUUCGUCUUCUCAAUUGACUAAUAUUCGGAGUAAAAUUAUCAUUGAAGUCCAUUUCUACUCCUUUCCUCUUUUAAUUUCAUUGUUGAUGGAAUAUGGUGCACUGAAUGGAAUCUGUGUGUUGUUUGAUCUUGAUUUUGAUUAGUGAUGAAUUGCUACUUUGACAUUAACUUGUUUCUUAAUUUUAUUGAAAUAGAAAUUGUGAAUUGAGAAAAAUUAGCGUUAAAAGGAAAUUUGGGGGUGAAAAUUGAAAACUUGAUAUAAUCGGUGAAUUUUGGUUAGUUUGAUUCAUAGGUUGUUUGACUUGAAAUGAACGUUAAUUGAACUUGAUAGUAUCAUGAUACGUCGAUUAGUUUAGGCAAACAUAGGUUGGGUAGGAAAAGUUUAGAAUUUGUGGCUUUGGUUGAAUCUUGGAAAUUUUGUGGAAUGUUUGAAAUUUUGUUGAAUAGUUUGAUUUU
This 9261-nucleotide long non-coding RNA is filed under the name Capsicum annuum. RNAcentral's name for it is "long non-coding RNA (CANN_LNC008894)". Lineage: Eukaryota; Viridiplantae; Streptophyta; Magnoliopsida; Solanales; Solanaceae. The record is from RNAcentral.